CCGGCGACCGGCGCACGGGUGAGUAACGCGUAUGCAACCUGCCCGUUUCAGCGGGAUAACCCGGAGAAAUCCGGCCUAAUACCGCAUGUGGCCGAGGGGAGGCAUCUUCUUUCGGCCAAAGGAGGCGACUCCGGAGACGGAUGGGCAUGCGUGACAUUAGCUUGUUGGCGGGGUAACGGCCCACCAAGGCGACGAUGUCUAGGGGUUCUGAGAGGAAGGUCCCCCACACUGGUACUGAGACACGGACCAGACUCCUACGGAAGGCAGCAG
RNAcentral lists this ribosomal RNA (270 nucleotides) under uncultured bacterium. Its description in RNAcentral is "partial 16S ribosomal RNA". It matches the Rfam family "Bacterial small subunit ribosomal RNA", at positions 88 to 354 of the family's 1533-position model. The record is from RNAcentral.